GGCUCCGUAGCGGCCGAUAUGACCGUCGCUGAUUUCCCGUCCGGGCCCGCUAGACCGCCCGAAGAAGCCGCGGGUCACCCUCAAGACGCCCCCGUCUCUCCCCCAAAGCGGGUGUCGCAGGUUCGAAUCCUGUCGGGGCACA
RNAcentral lists this transfer RNA (142 nucleotides) under Streptomyces mirabilis. RNAcentral describes it as "tRNA-OTHER". The record is from RNAcentral. Lineage: Bacteria; Bacillati; Actinomycetota; Actinomycetes; Kitasatosporales; Streptomycetaceae.